UGGGUAAAAGCUUUUAGCGGCUGACUGUUAACCAGCAAAUGGCGAAAUUUUCGCUUACCCA
Molecule: transfer RNA, 61 nt
Filed under: Rectidens sumatrensis
Lineage: Eukaryota; Metazoa; Mollusca; Bivalvia; Unionida; Unionidae
Description: tRNA-Asn
Source: RNAcentral